This is a long non-coding RNA of Gasterosteus aculeatus (three-spined stickleback), 1460 nucleotides long. The record is from Ensembl. Lineage: Eukaryota; Metazoa; Chordata; Actinopteri; Perciformes; Gasterosteidae.
GAGACAUCCAGUCCACACCGACCUUGGACGACCUUGAGCAGGCCUUUGUCCCUCUCCUCCCUCUUCAGCUGGAUCAUGUCCCCGGUGCGGGACAAGGCCUCCUUCAGCCUGCUGCCGUCCUCGAUCAGCGCCUCCAGCAUGUCAGGACUGGCCACGCUGGAAACCAGAGCCACCUCCUUCAGCACGGCCUGCGCCUGCUCCUCCUGCGCCUCCAGGGCGCCACACUGCCGCUGCAGCUGGUCCUGGAAGGUCGCGUGUGAGGCAUCGACUCUGCUGACGGAGCCCUGGAUGGUCUCCACAGCCGACUGGCACUCCUCGAUCUUCUGCGCCAGCUGGGUUUCCGUCACCUGAUGAAGACAUUGUAAGAGCCGGGUUCCCAGCGAGCACAUGUGGCGUGCAUGUUGACCUGUAGACUCACCUGCAGCUCCAGCGGGGACUCGGGGCUCUGCAGCAUCUCCUGGAUCUCUACAGACUUCCUGUGGAAGUGGUCGAUGUUCUCCUCGUUGACCUGGAUCUCGUCCUACAAAGCAAAGAAGAACGUCCGUACGGAUGACACGAAGGCGCCGAGCGGAUCUCCAUUAACCUCGAACAUCCGAACCCACUGACAGGGACCCUGUAAGGGAAUCUUACCCUCAUGGCCAGAACCUGUUGUUCGUUGUGGAAGGGAUGGCUCUCUGCGAACAGGGGGUAGGAGCUCACGUCCAGCCAGUUGUCCACCAGUGUGUCGGCCUCGGCCUCAAAGGGCGUCUCGCUGCAGUCUGGAAAGGUCUUCAGGUUGUCCUUGCUCAGGUAGGAAGCCUGGUCGCCGAUGGUCUGUUCCGCUUUCUGCACCGUGCUGCUCAUCUGACUGCGGCAGCUGUGGAACGUCUUCAGAAGCUCCAGCAGGAUGCUGCACUGCUUCUUACUGCCAGAGGGAGGGAAGGAGGGAGGGAGAGGACCUUAAGGGGGCUUUCAGCUUCUUCAUAGCUUUAUCCAUUGGUACACAGUUCAUUCGACUGAGCAGAGCACUUUCUAUCUCUCCACUCUCACCCACCUGUCAGAAUAAGCUCUCUGGGUCUCCUUCCACUGAGCCUCCAGCUCCUGGAGGAGGUGCUCUCCUCCCCCCUGUUCCUCCUGAAGUUCCCGGAGGUUCUGGAGCUCUGCACGCUGAGCCUGCAGCUGACUCUCCAAAUCCGACAGGGCCCGAAGCCUGGACGAUAUUACAUUACAAUACAUUACAUAUAUCACCAUCCAGAUUUAACUCUUUAUUCGUCUUAAAUGUGGCUGGUGGAAAAGUGAUCCACACAAGAGAGGCGAAUCAGCUGAUGGACACACGAAUAAAUACUAGCUUUGGGUGUGUAAAACAAAUAGUUGACACAUGCAUACAUACACAGGAUAGAAUAAACCCCCACAACCCCCCUCAUCCGUUCCUUACCUGUAAAAACCAUUUAAACAAAAUGUAUAAAGAUACAAUUGAAUAG